RNAcentral lists this ribosomal RNA (440 nucleotides) under uncultured bacterium. Its description in RNAcentral is "bacterial SSU rRNA". It matches the Rfam family "Bacterial small subunit ribosomal RNA", at positions 338 to 769 of the family's 1533-position model. The record is from RNAcentral.
CCUACGGGUGGCUGCAGUGGGGAAUAUUGCGCAAUGGCCGAAAGGCUGACGCAGCGACGCCGCGUGUGGGAGGAAGCCCUUCGGGGUGUAAACCACUGUCAGGGGGGAAGAACCCCGACCGGACAAAUAGCCCGGUCGGCUGACGGUACCCCCAGAGGAAGCGCCGGCUAACUCCGUGCCAGCAGCCGCGGUAAGACGGAGGGCGCAAGCGUUGUUCGGAAUUACUGGGCGUAAAGCGCGGGCAGGUGGUUUUUUAAGUCCUUUGUGAAAUCCCGGGGCUCAACUCCGGAUGUGCAUAGGAUACUGGAAGACUAGAGACCGGUAGAGGCGAGUGGAAUUCCUGGUGUAGCGGUGGAAUGCGUAGAUAUCAGGAAGAACACCUGUGGCGAAGGCGGCUCGCUGGGCCGGUUCUGACACUCAUCCGCGAAAGCGUGGGGAGC